Helianthus annuus (common sunflower) is the source of this 310-nucleotide long non-coding RNA. RefSeq lists it as uncharacterized. The transcript is spliced from 3 exons. NCBI's taxonomy places the organism in Eukaryota, Viridiplantae, Streptophyta, Magnoliopsida, Asterales, Asteraceae. The record is from RefSeq and is a predicted model, not a curated record.
AUUCCGGUUUGGAUUCUGAUACGAGUUACGUGUCGAUUUCUGUCCGUUCUGAUUCCGGUUCGGGAUUGGUUUCAGUUCUGGUGACAAACAUGAACGAAGACAGCGGAGAUGGCGAUAUGUUUCGGAUUUGAUUUGGGAGUAUUAUAGUUCAGUUUUAGUGUCUCGGGUCUAACAGUCAACUGCCAGGGUGACCUCGGUGUUUCAUUCUCCUAAUCUUAUCAACUCGUCAUACUUGGAUAAUCGGAAGACUUAGCAAUUAUGUUGAUGAGGAUGAUGCUAAGAAAAGAAGUAGCGUUGAUGCCUAGAUACA